CCCCCCCAAUUCCCUUCUUUCCCGAUUCCACUCUCUUUCUCAGCCAUUCUCAGCCCGUACUUCUAUUUCUCUCCCCCGAUUCCCUUUUCUUUCCCAAUUCCCUUUUCUUUCUCAGCCUUUCUCAGACUAAGCCAUUUGCCUAAAUCAUAGUUCCCCCGAAACCCUCAUUUUCCCCCAAAUCAUAGUUCCCUUAAAACCCCAAAAUUUCUCUAAAUCAAACCCAUUUGCUGUCUCCCUCUCUCUUUUCGAUCGACAGGUAUUAUAAUUUUCUAAUCAAACCCAAAGCUCCUUCUUUCAUUUUGAUUUCAUUGCAGCAAGCAAGCCGUUUAUUUUUUAUUUCAUUUCGACUUCGAUUUCACUUCUGUUUUAUUUUUGCAACAAGCAGAAAGAUUAAGGGAUUUCAUUUUGAAAUCAAACCCGAUUGAAGGCUACCUUUGGCGAGUCCAUCAAAUCAAGGUACUCUUAUUUACUUGUUCUUUUGAAUCCUAGAAUUUAGCAUGCUGACAUUUAUAUUUUUUUUUCUUUUGUGUUCUUUAGUAUAUGCCAUCUAUUGGGAAUUUUAUUGUUGUUCUCUUUCCCUCUGCGUAUGUAGUUAGUUUCCUAUUAUGGGAAUUUAUUUUGUUGGUUUUGAUUUCUGCGUUUGAUUUUGGCUUUUUGGUUUUUUGAGUCGGAAGAUUGAUGGCCUUUUAUGGGCUAGUUUGAUUUAUAUUGGCAUUUGAUUAUACAUGAUUGGAAAAUGGUUUAAUAUGUAUAGAUUCUCCAAGACUAGAAACUUUAUCCUUGAUGUUUCAAGUUACUGAAUGAUGAACUUGGCUAUCUUGAAACUACAACCUACACAUGAGUGACCUUCGAUACCGUAAACAUGUUUUCGGUUAUCAGUUCAGUGUCUUCUCAUGUGAUCAUUGGUAGAAGCAAUUCCUUGUAGGAUUAGAUAGUUUAGGUUAGAUAACCUGACCUAUAUUGAAUUGCUUGUUCUAUUUAUUGUGUUUUGGUUUCAAUGGUCAAUAUUCUGGGCUUAUUAAACUCUAAAAAUGCAUGUCACCAGUCAUCCUCAUGAAAACAUGCCUCAAAAACACUCUUUGCUUCUGCUGUUGUGCUUGUGCUGCCUUACACUCAAAUAUUUAUGUUACCAAUCUUAGCUGGUCCAGUCACCUUUUCUUCCAUGAUCUUCUGCAUAUUGUGUAACGUUAAUACAUCCUUCCUUAUCCUGCAUUGCUUUUACACUGUUAAAUAGCGGGUAGUAGCUAUCCCUGAAGUUUUCUGGCGAACUUUAGAGUCAUAAAAACCCUGGCUAAAGACUUCCUGAUUCUGAAAUUUGCUGCCUUGCGUUGGAGGGCACUUGUUGAUAUAAUUAAUAAUUACGACCUUUUUUAGGUAAAAUAAUGUGAAUUUGCAUUUAAUUAAAUUGUUUAUUUACCAUAGAAUCUUUUUUUCGCAAGCCCCAUGAUAUAUAUUUUCAUUUCUCAUUAUUUUCUUCUAAGAUCUUUUUAUCAUAAUACUAAAUCUACAGUUAAUGGCUCCCUACCAUCUUAAAAGUUGAAUUAUAGUCUAAAUCACCAUUUUUUCCCUUUAAUUUCUUCGGUUAAUAAUUAGUACGGUAAACGUGGACCAAUUGCCAUCUUUAAAAUUAGUUGAAAUGACUCUUGAAACCCACAAAAAAGCUAGUACACUUCUCAAAUUUUUAUUUUUAUUUUGGUGGAAAACAUUUCUCAAAAUUUUAACCACGGUGUGACAAGAGAUAUGUAUUUCUUCUUAACUUGGCGAGCUAUACAGACUUCGCCAAUACAAAUUAGUCACGCUUCAUAAUUGUGAAUCGGUAAGCAACUCACCAUUUUUCUAUAUAAAAAAACAUUUGGGCAAAUCAAAUUUAUUAUACAUUUUCAUGACAAGCCUCGCCAUCUGUUAUCAAUUUUAUUAUGUGCAUGCCUCGCCAUUUUCUUUUUACUAUGGUAUAUAUCAUUAAAGCUUGGCAGUAUACAUACUAUUGGUGCUUAUAAUUUGCUCAUAUCGUUGGCUGUCAUUAGUGAUACCGUAACUGCAUAUUUGUUUUAUUUUCUCCUUAAUCCUCAAGUCAUGCUCUAAGAAAUACACUCAAUUGAAGUUUGGAGCAACUCUAUCCUCUUUUAACUCUAUGAUCUUAUGAAUGUGCAGAGCAUGUUUGUAAUGUCUCUGUCAUAGUGGCUUCAUCAUAUGAUAUCAAUUACUAUGUUACACAUUGAUGGUUAGAAAGCUGUAAUUAAUUAUUUUUUAUUCAAUUUGAUGGCUCGGAAUAAAUUGUUUGUGGUGACGCAUGCAUAUUCACGUAACAGAUGAUGUGAUUGUUAUACAUAGCUACUACAUGAGUUGAGACCUGAUGAGAGUAAGUUGGAGAAUAGCCUGUGUUAUCCAAAAAUUAGUAUUUUGUUCUAACAAUCACUCUUUUGCAUGCUAACUCAGCAUAUUACAGUGACAUCUGUGUCGGAUCAAUUGCUUGCCAGCUGGAAAAGAAGGAAGGUGGGGCUAUCCAUUUGUACAUCAUGACAUUGGGGUUAUCCAUUUGCCAGCAUAUUACCCUAGACUUCUAUGAUGAGUUAAAUGGAUUUAACUCAAUUGAAUAAUGAUUAAUUCACUUGUUUUAAGUGUUUUUUUUUCAUUUUAUAUUUUUUAUAUAAAAAAUAUAUAUACUUAAAUCACAAAAUGAUAACUAAACUAUACUUAUUUUCCCAAAUUGAUAUUUAAACUUUUUUGUUGUCAUAAGUGGUACUUAAACUAUACCACUUACCCAUUUUAUCUCUGUUGUUAAAGAAAUUCCCUUAACCAAUCAUUUUGUGGCACGAUAUAAUUUUUAACUAAAUUAUCCAAAAAAAAGAUUAAAUAUUAUUUCCUUUAUAAACAUAUUUAUCUUUUUUUGUUCUUCACCUAAAAGUUCUAGUGACAAAAAAUUCAAGAACUAAUCGAGAAACACAUUUGAACCUAGUUUUCGACAAUAAAGCUUAGAUUGCGAUGAGUUUUUUUUUCUUUUUAAUUUUUUAAUCUAUUCUACCGGACACAUCGCAAUUCCAAGUAUCUAUGUUAGUGAUUUAGUAUCUCUUCUUAAAUUUGAAUCUCAAUGAUAAUUAAACUGGAGGAUGCCAUUACUGUAGUGAGGAUCCUUUAAAUAUUUACCUUUUUUUAAUAAAUUUUGAACUAGAGUGAACUGGCAAAAGUGUUGUUAAGAAGCUGAGGGUGUUACCGUAGCUCAACCAAUUUAAUAAUUUAGGUUGAUGCUAUAAUGUUAUUGAAAGGCAUAUUUGAGUCAGAUUAUUUUUUUAUUUUAUGGCUGUUUAUUGUUUGCAGGUGUAAUUUAAUUUGCUCGAAUUGACUCUUCAAUCCAAUUUAUAAUUUUUAAGAGGUAUGUAUAUUUUAUUUGCUAAAUCUUUAUUUCUAGGAGAUUAUAUUUGGUAUGUAUUCCAUGAGCUAAUUACAAGGUAAUUACAAUUUCAAAUAGGUAUGUAUAUUUAAUUUGUUAAAUUUGUUUUUAACUUGUUUUUUAAUGGAUCAUUAAUGGAUCAUGUUUUUAACUUAUUUCAAGUCUGUCCUUUGAUUAUUUUUUUUAAUUUGCUUAUGCUGUUUAUCCUUAGAGACUUGUUAUGUUGUCUUUAAUUUUUUUAAUUUGCUUAUUCUGCUUAUCCUUUGGAUCUCUUUGCUACUAGUUCCAAUGCGUAUGUUCUUCUCAUUGCUACUGGAAACCUUUGCGUAUGUUCUUAAGUAUGAAUAAGUAUGAAUUAAUUUUAUUACCAUGUAGCUUGCUUGUCCAUUAAAAUUACAACAAUAGCUGACCUUCUCUCCAACCUUUUUUUAAAUAUUUUAAAGAUUCAAAGUAUAUAGGCUGGAAACCUGACGGGUUGCCUUAUAUCGAGCUGUAAGAUAUAAUGGAUCCUCCCUAGGUGUAACAACGCCACGUAUGAUGAAUCUUAAAAAAUUCAAAAAGACUUGAAAAAAGUUUUAUCGAGCUCAUUUACUAUUGAAUAUUUAUUACCAUGUAGCUUGCUUGUCCAUUAAAAUUACAACAAUAGCUGACCUUCUCUCCAACCUUUUUUUAAAUAUUUUAAAGAUUCAAAGUAUAUAGGCUGGAAACCUGACGGGUUGCCUUAUAUCGAGCUGUAAGAUAUAAUGGAUCCUCCCUAGGUGUAACAACGCCACGUAUGAUGAAUCUUAAAAAAUUCAAAAAGACUUGAAAAAAGUUCUAUCGAGCUCAUUUACUAUUGAAUAUUUAUUACCAUGUAGCUUUCUUGUCCAUUAAAAUUACAACAAUAGCUGACCUUCUCUCCAACCUUUUUUUAAAUAUUUUAAAGAUUCAAAGUAUAUAGGCUGGAAACCUGACGAGUUGCCUUAUAUCGAGCUGUAAGAUAUAAUGGAUCUUCCCUAGGUGUAACAACGCCACGUAUGAUGAAUCUUAAAAAAUAAUUUACAUAAUUCACAUAACUUACAUAAUUUACAUAACUCACAUAACGUACAUAACAACUUACGGAACUUAACUAAUACAUGUAGUGCAAUCUAAUAGUUUCCUUAAAAGUAUAUAGUUUAAAGUUUAAAUUUCAUAACUUACAUAAUCUACAUAACUUACAUAAAACAUAAAAAUAUAUCAUAUCAAGACUUACAUAAUAAACAACUUACCUAUGUAAUUUAUUGUCAACUUUAGAAUUCAAGAACUACGAAAUGGAUAGGAGUUGGAUGAAAUUGUCAAGGGUAAGCAACGCCUAUCGAAAUGGAGUACAAACUUUUCUGAAUUUUGCAUUUCAAAAUGCAAGACAAGAGAAUAUGAUUCUUUGCCCGUGUAAGAAGUGUGGCAACAUCAAUUGGCAUACUCGUGAAGUUGUCUACGAACAUCUAAUUGUUGAUGGCUUUAUUCGGGGGUAUAAAAUAUGGAUUUUCCAUGGAGAGUGUACAGCUAGUGGAACUUCUUCAAUGAUUAAUCCGAAUUAUCCUGAUACUGAUUACCAUCAGUAUGUCAGACAAGAUGACAUGGAAGGUUUGUUGCGGGAUGCAUUUAAUAUGCACAGUCAUGGUGAGCAAUCGUUUCCACCUGACUUUAUUGCAUCCGAUGAUUGUAAUAUUGGUGGAAAUGUUUUUGGCGAAAUGGGAACAAGUGCACCUUAUGAGGAGCCAAAUGAAGAAGCGGCGAAGUUCUACAAUUUACUUAAUGAAAUGAACGAAGAACUUUACGAGGGAUCAAAAUAUUCGAAAUUGUCCUUUUGCAUUCGUUUAUUUCACUUAAAAUGUUUGGGAGGGUGGACUGAAAAUUCUUUUACAAUGCUGCUAGAGUUUCUGAGAGAGAUGUUUCCUUUUGCAAAAAUCCCCCAAUCUUUUCAAGAUAUGAAGAGACUAAUAAAAGAUUUGGGCCUUGGGUACGAUAAAAUUCAUAGUUGCCCAAAUGACUGCAUGUUGUACUGGGGUGAUCAGAAGAACCAACAGUGUUGUAAUGUUUGUGGCAAGUCACGUUGGAUGAAUGGGAAUACAGAAGAUGUGAAUGCGGAUGAAGGUGGGGCAGAGUUAAAAAAGAAGCCAGUCAAGGUUUUGCGAUACUUUCCCCUAAUACCAAGACUUCAAAGGCUUUUCAUGUCAUCAAAGACGGCCGAAUCUAUGAGGUGGCAUAAUGAUCAACGGACCGAUGAUGGAUUAUUAAGACAUCCUGCGGAUUCUUUAGCUUGGAAAUAAUUUGACAUGAAAUUUUCAAGCUUUGCAAGCGAUCCUCGAAAUGUGAGGCUUAGGCUAGCAGCUGACGACUUUAAUCCAUUUAAAAUCAUGAGUACUUCGUACAACACUUGGCCUGUGGUGCUUGUUCCUUACAAUUUGCCUCCAUGGAUUUGCAUGAAGCAAUCUUCGUUUAUUUUAUCAAUGAUUAUUCCUGGAGAGAAAGGCCCCGGAAAUGAUAUUGACAUCUAUUUGCAGCCACUUAUUGAAGAGUUAAAACAAUUAUGGUCGGGUGUUGAGACAUAUAAUGUAUUAAGAAAAGAGAACUUUUAUUUACGUGCAGCUUUAUUGUGGACAAUUAAUGAUUUUCCGGCUUAUGCUAAUUUAUCGAGUUGGAGUACUAAAGAACGUUAUGCUUGUCCUUGUUGUGCUGCGCAAACUUGUUCGAAGUGGUUGUACAAUGGGAAGAAGUUCUCUUACAUGGGCCAUCGUCGGUGGUUAGAUAGAAAUCAUAAAUUUAGAUUUCAGAGGACUUUAUUUGACGGUACAGAAGAGUACAGAGGAGCUCUUCAGCAGACCGUUGGAUCUGAAAUCUUGUUUAUGUUAAAAGAUAUCAACUUCAGUUAUGGGAAGAUGAAUCAACCACCUAACACGCAAUCAAAGAGAAGAUCGAUGGAUGAAUUCGAUGAUGAAUUUGACGAAGAGGAUGAUCCUAAUGAGGCAGACUUGUGGUAAAAAAGAAGUAUUUUUUUUGAGUUGCCUUAUUGGGAGCAUAAUAUUUUACGCCACAAUCUUGAUGUCAUGCAUAUUGAGAAGAAUGUCUGCGAGAACAUAAUUGGGACAAUUUUGAAUGUCGAUGGAAAAUCAAAAGACAAUCUUCAGAGUCGACUUGAUUUAGUUGACAUGAGAAUUCAGCGUGAUCUUCAUCCUCAAGUACUUCCGAAUGGGAAAUAUCGAUUGCCACCUUAUAUUUUUUCAAUGUCAAAGGAAGAGAAAGAGGUGUUUUGUACGGUGUUGAAGGAUAUAAAGGUUCCAGAUGCGUAUGCGUCAAAUAUAUCUUGAUGUGUGAGUCUUAAAGAUCGAAGAUUAUAUUCAUUAAAAUCACAUGAUUACCACAUCUUGAUGCAAGAUUUACUCCCAGUUGCUUUACGGUGCUGCAUGUCAAAAAAUGUGGCGUCCUGUAUAAUUGAACUAUCCAAUAUAAUGAAAGCUAUUUGUGGCAAAGUUUUGGAUGUUGAAGAACUUAAGAAAGUACAGGAUCGAGCUGCUUUGACUUUAUGCAAUUUGGAGAAGAUAUUUCCACCUUCCUUCUUUAUUAUUAUGGUGCACUUGGUAAUUCAUCUCCCUCACGAAGCAAUACUUGGUGGACCGGUUUUUUAUCGAUGGAUGUAUCCAAUAGAAAGGUGCUAAUUUAUUUGUCAAGUAUUUAUUUAUUCGCGUCUAUACAUUUAGUUACAACUUUUGAUAAAUAUUGUAUAUCGUGUUUAGGUUCCUAAGCAAAUUGAAAGCUUAUUGUCGCAAUAAGCGUUAUCCAAAAGGAUCAAUUGCUGAAGGCUACUUGGAAGAGGAGUGCAUGACAUUCUGUUCUAGAUAUUUAGAAGAUGUUGAAACACGAUUGAAUAGACCAAAUAGAAAUACUGGGCUCAAUGAUCAUAACUUGGCCAAAACUUAUUUAUUCCAAAGUUAUGGAGAACCAAUUGGCAAAGUUGAAAUUGCAAAAUUAGAUGAUAUAUCGUGGAUACAAGCACAUCGAUAUGUACUUUUUCACCACGAUUUAGUUGAACCGUUACGCAAGUAAGUUCUAAAAUUUCCUCACAUAUUCGUAGUUUUGAUUUGUUUAUCUUCUAACCAAUUACACUUGUUUUUAAUAUAGUGAGUACAAACAAAUUUUGAAAUCUCGUGCACGCUCUCGAAGAUUGCAACAUCGAGAGAUUAAUAAGUUAUUCACAUAAUCUUUUCAUGAAUGGUUAAGUCAAACGGUGUGUAACUAAAGUUAAUAAGUUACAUAUAAUCCCGAAAUUUAGUUAAUUAUUCAAUUUACUUUCGAUUCAAUAGGUUUGGAGUGGAAAGGACGUCAAUGACGAAGUUAAAUGGCUUUCCCAAGGUCCGAACAGAAUAAUAAAAAGAUAUAGUGCCUUCCUCAUCAAUGGAUACAGAUUUCAUACAAAGUAUCGUGAGAGAAUGAGGAGAACUCAAAAUUGUGGAGUUGUUGUUAAUUCUUCAAUUACAAGUUAUGCUAGUGCUAGAGACAGUAAUCCGGUUGAGGGUAAUGUGGAGUAUUAUGGACUUCUUACCGACAUUAUUGAGUUGGAUUACUAUGGCAGAUGGAAAGUUGUCUUAUUUCGGUGUGAUUGGGCUGAUGUUAAUACUGCUCGAGGAAUUAAAGAAGAUCAAUUUGGUUUUACAAUGUUGAAUUUCUCUCGCUUGAUUCACACUGGACAACAAUUGAUGGACGAGCCAUAUGUAUUUUCCUCUCAAGUGAAACAAGUUUUUUAUUCUAAAGAUCCAACUGAUGAGGGUUGGUAUGUUGUACUCCGGAACACCCCUAGAGACUUGUUUGAAAUGGGUAAUGGAAGUAGAGAUGACAUCGUCGAAAGAUCAGAAACAUUACCUUUUCCAAAACAAAACUUAGAUGAAAAUAUCCCUAGUACUAAUACACAACAUCAAUGGGUUCGACAUGAUGUGGAUGAAGAUAUUUACGAAUAAUGAUGUAGUAAGAUUUUACAAUUUUUUAAUUAUAUGUAAUAUUAUAAUUUUAAUCUUUGUCAUGUUAUAUAAUUUAACUAUUUUAUAUGUACUACUAUUGUUGUAAUUUGUUACUAAAACUUUAACUAUUUUAUGUGUAUUGUAGGAAAAAUGCGUAGAAGAAGAUUAAGAGAUUUAAGUAUUGUCCAGAAUACUCCAAAUUCGGAAGAAGGAAAUAGUGAACAGCAGACAGUUGUUGGAUCUUCGAAUGUGCCGGAGACACUUGAUGAGCCUAAAGAAUUUC
This 8641-nucleotide long non-coding RNA is filed under the name Gossypium barbadense (sea-island cotton). RNAcentral's name for it is "long non-coding RNA (GBAR_LNC012279)". The record is from RNAcentral. Lineage: Eukaryota; Viridiplantae; Streptophyta; Magnoliopsida; Malvales; Malvaceae.